This 111-nucleotide ribosomal RNA is filed under the name Caerostris darwini. The record is from RNAcentral. Lineage: Eukaryota; Metazoa; Arthropoda; Arachnida; Araneae; Araneidae.
AACGGUCAUACCAUGCUGAAUAUACCGGUUCUCGUUAGAUCACCGAAGUCAAGCAUCAUUGGGCGCGGUCAGUACUUGGGUGGGUGACCACCUGGGAACACCGCGUGCAGU